RNAcentral lists this ribosomal RNA (468 nucleotides) under uncultured bacterium. Its description in RNAcentral is "partial 16S ribosomal RNA". It matches the Rfam family "Bacterial small subunit ribosomal RNA", at positions 28 to 507 of the family's 1533-position model. The record is from RNAcentral.
GACGAACGCUGGCGGCGUGCUUAACACAUGCAAGUCGAACGGAAAGGCCCUGCUUUUGUGGGUUGCUCGAGUGGCGAACGGGUGAGUAACACGUGAGUAACCUGCCCUUGACUUUGGGAUAACUUCAGGAAACUGGGGCUAAUACCGGAUAGGAGCUCCUGCUGCAUGGUGGGGGUUGGAAAGUUUCGGCGGUUGGGGAUGGACUCGCGGCUUAUCCGCUUGUUUGUGGGGUAGUGGCUUACCAAGGCUUUGACGGGUAGCCGGCCUGAGAGGGUGACCGGCCAUAUUGGGACUGAGAUACGGACCAGAAUCCUACGGGAGGCAGCAGUGGGGAGUAUUGCACAAUGGGCGGAAGCCUGAUGCAGCAACGCCGCGUGCGGGAUGACGGCCUUCGGGUUGUAAACCGCUUUCGCCUGUGACGAAGCGUGAGUGACGGUAAUGGGUAAAGAAGCACCGGCUAACUACGUG